GGGGGAGUUGUGUGGGAGAUAAUUGGAAGAUGCCUAAGCUCAGGAUUAUUUUGCUUUCGUGUGUGCAUUGAUUAUGUGGGAAUGAUCUUAUACGUAAUGAGUAAAUUGUGUUUGUACUAGGGUUUGCUUUGACUUUUGAUAACAAUGAGGAACAAAUUACAAAUUGAGGGAUGUUAAUUGACUUUGUGGGCCUCAGUUUAUUGAUAUCAAGAUGGAACAAGGAGAUUUGAUAAUAUAGGCCUGCGUAUUCUGAGGGUAACUGCAAUUAGCAGAAAUAGAAUUUUCGGGCUUCCUGUUUUGGGCAAAGGGGAAAACUUUGAACAUCUUUGACCAUAGAAUGAGUUGUUAAUACA
Molecule: unclassified non-coding RNA, 353 nt
Filed under: Hevea brasiliensis (rubber tree)
Lineage: Eukaryota; Viridiplantae; Streptophyta; Magnoliopsida; Malpighiales; Euphorbiaceae
Source: RNAcentral